GAAAUGCGAUAAGUAAUGUGAAUUGCAGAAUUCAGUGAAUCAUCGAAUCUUUGAACGCACAUUGCGCCCGCCAGUAUUCUGGCGGGCAUGCCCGUUCGAGCGUCAUUUCAACCAUCAAGCCCCCGGCUUGUGUUGGGGACCUGCGGCUGCCCGCAGGCCCUGAAAAACAGUGGCGGGCUCGCUGUCACACCGAGCGUAGUAGCAUACAUUCUCGCUCAGGGCGUGCUGCGGGUUCCGGCCGUUAAACGACCUUCAUAACCCAAGGUUGACCUCGGAUCAGGUAGGAAGACCCGCUGAACUUAAGC
RNAcentral lists this unclassified non-coding RNA (305 nucleotides) under plant metagenome. RNAcentral's name for it is "partial contains 5.8S ribosomal RNA, internal transcribed spacer 2, and large subunit ribosomal RNA". The stretch from base 1 to 105 matches the Rfam family "5.8S ribosomal RNA", at positions 50 to 154 of the family's 154-position model. The record is from RNAcentral.